Molecule: ribosomal RNA, 459 nt
Filed under: uncultured bacterium
Lineage: Bacteria
Description: partial 16S ribosomal RNA
Rfam family: Bacterial small subunit ribosomal RNA
Source: RNAcentral
CCUACGGGUGGCAGCAGUGAGGAAUAUUGGUCAAUGGGCGCGAGCCUGAACCAGCCAAGUCGCGUGAGGGAAGACGGUCCUAUGGAUUGUAAACCUCUUUUGUCGGGGAGCAAAAGACGCCACGUGUGGCGUUCCGAGAGUACCCGAAGAAAAAGCAUCGGCUAACUCCGUGCCAGCAGCCGCGGUAAUACGGAGGAUGCGAGCGUUAUCCGGAUUUAUUGGGUUUAAAGGGUGCGCAGGCGGAAGAUCAAGCCAGCGGUAAAAUUGAGGGGCUCAACCUCGUCGAGCCGUUGAAACUGGUUUGCUUGAGUGAGCGAGAAGUAUGCGGAAUGCGUGGUGUAGCGGUGAAAUGCAUAGAUAUGACGCAGAACUCCGAUUGCGAAGGCAGCAUACCGGCGCUCAACUGACGCUGAUGCACGAAAGUGUGGGUAUCGAACAGGAUUAGAUACCCCAGUAGUC